CUGAGCGCGGACGAUUCUUAGGUGAAAUUAUUGUUGCUACCUAUAUAUAUUUGUCUUCUUAUCGUGAAAACACAGUAGUUUACCACCAUGAAACCCCGCACGCCGAUGAUAGCGCUGUGCAUCUGUGUGAUAGCGGCAAGCGCGUACUCCGCAGCACUCCAAGCUCAGAAAGAACACAUAAUGAUUGCGAGUGGUCGUCCGAGAGAACGCAGGAAAGUCGGUUCUACACCUCGCCCGUUGGAGCCUAUCGAACUAACGGAGAUGCGCGUGCGCUCCGAAGUGGCGCUGCGCUACGCGCGCACAUCUGUGAUCACUCACGUGCACAACCCCGACACGCGGCCGCAGGAGGCCUCGUUCCACAUGCUGCUGCCGGACACCGCCUUCAUCAGUGGAUUUACAAUGCUAUUGGCUGGACAAUCCUACAAUGCGUAUGUAAAAGAAAAAGAAGAAGCCAAAUUACUAUACACUCAGGCAGUAUCCCAAGGCAUUGGUGCAGCGCACGUUGCUACAAAAGCUCGUGACUCCAACCACUUCAUAGUAACAGUCAACGUGGAGGGCAACACUACAGCUGUCUUUGAAUUGCGAUACGAAGACUUCCUAGUCAGCCGCAACGGGCUGUACAGUCAUGUCAUCAACCUGCACCCUGGCGCUCUUGUGCCAACAAUGGAGGUUGUUGUGCACAUCAAAGAAUCACAAAAGAUCACUAAACUGCGCGUUCCCGAAGUCAGGACUGGGAAUGAAAUGGAUGCGACGCAAACUGAUUCGCAAAAUUCGAAGGUAGUCAUCCAGAACGGUAGCAACAAGCGAGAAGUGACCAUCACUUUUACUCCUGAUAUGUCAGAACAGAGAAGACUUGCUCAAAUAUACAUGGACAAGAGCAAAGAUGCUUCAAGUUUAGCUCUUGGACAAUUUGUGGUGGAGUAUGACGUAGAGCGAUCCAACAAUGGUGAAAUCUUGGUAAACGAUGGCUACUUUGUACACUUUUUGGCCCCGACGUCGCUGCCUCCACUGAGUAAGCACGUAGUGUUUGUGCUUGAUACCUCAGGAUCCAUGUUGGGCCGCAAAAUCGAGCAGUUGCGUAAAGCCAUGGACACCAUACUUUCGGACCUCAAGCCAACUGAUUAUUUCAACGUCGUUGAAUUCAGCCAUUUCGUUAAGGUUCACGAAUUGAAGGAAGCUGAUGAACCGGCACCAACUCACAGACCAGAUUGGUACUACAAUACCAUAAGCACGGAUAACUCCUAUACUCUUGUGCGUCCAGCACUCGCAUCGCCGGAUAAUAUUGCUAAGGCGAAAAUUAUAGUGUCUAGGCUCGAUUAUACCGGAGGUACCAACAUUUACAGUGCACUGGAUGCAGCAAUUGGAAUUAUCAAGAAGGGUGUUGAUAAGGAGAAUACCACUAAUAGUAAUGUUGCAUUGAAAACUGAGAAAAAAAAGAAAGCAGAGUUGGAACCCAUUAUAAUUUUUUUGACGGAUGGCGUUCCCUUGGAUGGUGAAACUAACACGGAUCGGAUAACCUCACUGAUUACGGAAAAAAACGCUGGUGAUAUGAGGGCGGCUCUGUACACAAUCGCUUUUGGUGAAGACGCGGACCGCGUUUUCCUGCGUAAGCUCUCGCUGCGAAAUGAGGGUUUCAUGCGUCAUAUCUACGAAGCAGCUGACGCAUCCCUGCAACUACACGACUUCUACCUUCAGGUGGCGUCACCGCUUCUUUCUCACGUGCAGUUCUUAUACCCUGCAAAACAGAUAAAAGAAGGAUCGGUGAGCCGUAAUAAGUUCCGCAGUGUUAACUCGGGUUCAGAGGUUGCAGUCGUAGGUCAGAUCGCGGAAGAUGCCAUUGAGAUUACGCCACAGAUAUUCGGUUUCUAUGGAAGUGAAGAUGGUCUGAGCUUGAAACGAUAUGAAGUAACUUCCAAAGUGACUUUCACUCAUACCAAGGACGAGCACUUGCCACUUGAGCGGCUGUGGGCGUACAUAACCAUCAAGCAGAUGUUAGACCAGCGCGACGCUGCUGACGACAGAUCUGAGAAACAGAACAGUCCUGAGAAAAAGGCUCUUGCUAUAGCACUCAAGUACGCAUUUGUAACACCCCUGACUUCACUCGUGGUAGUGAAGCCGAAUGAAACCAACGCUGUUGAUGUCGAUUCUACUGACGCUAUGUCAAUUAUUACCACGACCCCGGAGCCUACCAGCAAUGCUGCUCAGCCAAGUUAUGACUGGGAAGAAACCGACCUUGAAGAAUCAGAGAAUCAUAGCGGGUUAACUAGGACCAUCGGUGGUUUCGGGGGACAAGCAAAUUUGAUGUAUAACAUGGAAACCAGAAAUAGCGGUCGCAGCUCCCAUCACAAUAUGUAUACACAUAGCGGUCGCAGCUCCCAUCACAAUAUGUAUACACGUAAGUAAAAUCUUUCUUACCCUAAACGCGCCAUCCAUCAACUUCCAAACUACGCUUUGUACACGAUCGAUCGCAAUUUAUGCAAUGGGACGUGGUAUCACAAAAAAUACGUGCAAGUAGAAAUCUCGUCUACACUAAAUGUGUAGUUUAAGUUACUAAGUAUAGCAGGUACGAAAAUAGUCUAUUAGAUUACAUAAUGAUAGUUACAGGUCAUCAGGUAAUUUAAUAUUUCCACUUCUUUAUCAUCGUCAUCAUCAUAUUCGACUCGUUGCCGGCCCAUUACAGUACAGAGCACGGGUCUCUUCUCAGAAUUCACAUUUAUGAAAUUUUUUAAAUUUUCAGUUUCGCAGUUGUACAACCGGCAUUCCGUAUCUCAUGGCAUCUAUUACAGACCAAAGCUCUUCGUGCCCGCUUCUAUUACCACCACAAAGGCUCCAACAACAGCCUCAAAUGUAAACUACCACUUAGAAGCCUUUAAAUGGACAUCUUCGAUAUUCAACAGCAGCACUGGCGC
Molecule: RNA transcript, 2909 nt
Organism: Pararge aegeria (speckled wood butterfly)
Lineage: Eukaryota; Metazoa; Arthropoda; Insecta; Lepidoptera; Nymphalidae
Gene name: inter-alpha-trypsin inhibitor heavy chain H4-like
Exons: 18
Source: RefSeq, a predicted model, not a curated record